CAUAACCGUUAUCUUUCGUCUCGUUCUAUCGUACCUAGAGCAUAUGAAAGUAAAAGAGAAACACAUAAAUUAGUCAAUCGCCCGAAAAUUAUUCAUUUUCGUUCUGUGUUCUGCAGUGUUCGGUUGGGGCCUAUUUUGUGAUCGAUUACGAUAGAAGUCUUGUUAAAAAAAAUAUGGCUGCUUCCAAACGUGAUUUGCCUAGCGAAUUUCCAAACGAUGCCGUUGGCUAACGGAUAGUUAGAGGAAAAUUUCGCAGAGGCAAUAUCACGUUUCGAAAACAAUUUGCUGUACGAUUAAGGCGCAGGGUGAAUCUCGUUCGGCUUUGCAAUGCAGACAAAAUGAAGCUACGCCAUGACGAAUCAAACUAUUGAGGAAGCCUAUUUUUUGUAUUACUAUUUUAAGAUCCAGUGGAGAUAAACGAGUAAACCAUAAAUACAAUACGUCAAUAAUUUGUGUGUCAGCAGAUUCGGAUAAUAAAUUUUGUAUUCUUCCGUUAUGGUAAUCAUUUUAUUAUAAACAUAGUCAGUUUCCACUAUACAAAAUAAAAACAAGUCAUUUUGCUGCAAAA
Malaya genurostris is the source of this 568-nucleotide long non-coding RNA. RefSeq lists it as uncharacterized. The transcript is spliced from 2 exons. NCBI's taxonomy places the organism in Eukaryota, Metazoa, Arthropoda, Insecta, Diptera, Culicidae. The record is from RefSeq and is a predicted model, not a curated record.